Long non-coding RNA from Anas platyrhynchos (mallard), 1173 nucleotides. RefSeq lists it as uncharacterized. NCBI's taxonomy places the organism in Eukaryota, Metazoa, Chordata, Aves, Anseriformes, Anatidae. The record is from RefSeq and is a predicted model, not a curated record.
CGUUCAAAUUCAUCAAGAUCUGAUGGCCUGGCUUAUGAACUUCAAUUCUCUGGCAUCUGUCUGAAGAACUUCAUACCUAAUUCCCUCCUCUCAAGGUCACAUCAAAGACAUUUUUAACUAAAGGGUCAUCUCUUCCUGUUCCUGCUUGCCCAGCUACAUGAGUUCUCCUGGUCUCCAGAGACAUGUCUUUUUCCAGGACUCUUUGCUUCUUGCUGUGAAUCCCACCUGUGGCUCUGAGCAGUGCCCCAACUACCAGAAAACUGGCCAGACCCACAGACUGCCGCAACUGGUACAGACACCCAAGGAGAUGGGAGCAUGACUGUCCCCAUUCUUUUUCUCCUUCAGAGAGAAACCAGUAUCAUGUCACUUCACAUCUUCCUUUAUGGUUCUGGAGAGACACAAAUGCUGGUGCAGAGAUAGAGCAGUUCUGAGAGGGAAGAAUCACAGCCACAAGGAAGACACUGAUGUUGCCUUUACCUCUCCGAUGUUAAGCAGAUCUUGUCAUAUACAUUCUAGCUUGUUGAAGUUUAUCCUUGCUAUCAUGUUUAUAAGGUUUGUGAUUCUGGAGCUAACAUACACCUACAUAUACACUCGUGUCCACCACUGACUUCAUUGGUAGUUACAUUUGGUCCAGGCUGUUUACAGAUUAGGGGCAAACUCCUGCCCUGGGAGGAUAUUGCCAUCACCUUCAAUGGAACUUCACCACAGAUACGUGACCAUCAAAAAUACAUUGAAAGCCCCGAGAACCUUGUUAAAAGUCCUAAAAUACCAUUAUGUUUGUCAAAUACAGUCAGGUCUGGUUAAUCACACCCUGUUUGCAAACAUCCAAUUUUAUCAGUUUUAAAAAAUAUAUGUCAAAUCUUGUUCACAUGUCCUAUUAAACUAGUUUCUGCUUUAAUCUGUGGGAUGCUUAGACAAUGCCAAUAAACCAAGAGUGAUUUAAUCAGCUCUGACUGUUCUGAUCCAACAAGCACAUGCACUUGCAGGCUGAUUAUUCUGCUAUCCAUAGCAUAUUCACGGAUCUUACAAGAUAUUUAGCUUUCCCUCUAUAUUUGCCAGAGGUUUCCAUUACAAUUAUAGGACCCGCUCCCUGACAGGUAUAGAAAAAUAAUAUUAGUCUUUGUAUAUGUUUUUAAAACUAAUAUAACUAAAUCAAAUUAGGAUCUAUAUUAA